This is a non-coding RNA of Manis javanica (Malayan pangolin), 2120 nucleotides long. The record is from RefSeq and is a predicted model, not a curated record. NCBI's taxonomy places the organism in Eukaryota, Metazoa, Chordata, Mammalia, Pholidota, Manidae.
GAAAUGAGGAUAUGAUUUCAAAAGGCAGUCAGAAAUGGAAACAGCCUUCAGUAGGAGGCAGAAGACCUGGGUACUAUUCCCAGCACAGCUACUGUGCUUGAGUGAGUCACUUAAACUUUCUGGGCCUUAUUUUUUCCUCUACAAUACUGGCAUCGCUGCCAUGCAUUGAUGUGGGAGUUGAGUAAGAAAUUUUACGGAACUAGUCAUAAAUUGUAAAACAAAGGUAUGUACGAAUAAGCCUCAUACUGGGAAUCAGAAGCCCUGGAUUCUAGUCCCGGUUCUGCCAUUGACACUGUGAUUUUUGGGCAGGUUCACUUGUGAAAUGAAAGUGCUGCAUUAGAAUCGUUAUUUCUUACAAUAUAUAGUACUUAAAAUCAAGUAUUUGUAAGGCCAAAGAAGGCCCUCGAAUAUCUUGAGUUAUCUCAUACACGGUAAACAGUGACAAAGUAAUGGCCAUUUGAGGCAACAGUGACAUACAACGAUGAGCUGUCCGUAUCAGAGACACACACUCGGGAUAACUGGGAGUAUCAACAUCACUCUCCGACCGGCUUGGUGACUUUUAGCUGUUGCCCCUCAGCACUUCUAUUCUUCUACUCAUUUAAAUAGGCAAAGCAGGAUGAAGUAACUUAAACGAAAAAGAGAACUUAGACCUUCAGGGGUAAAAACUGAUUAGCAGCUGGCUAGGGAGAGGACUGAAGUUCACCAACUGGAUGGUGAAAAAUCAUCUUUUCUUCGUGUGCUUACUAGUGGGGUUUUUCUAUAGAACCUCGUCACCUCCAACUCAGACUGGCUGAAAAGAGUCCGUGAGGCGCCGGGAGUUCGAGACGCUACUCCCAGGUAGCAUCUGACUAUGGAGUUCAGUCCCAGGAAGGGCAGGCGGUCCCUCAGUCUGCAAACCAGGCAGACCCCGUCGACAGGGAAGUCAACCCAAGAGGGAUCUCCGGCGCUCCUAGUCGGGAAAGCAAUGACAAUUGCAAGGCCAUGAAGAUGGGGUGAGUUUCAAGACUCAAACUUCAACGGCCAGCUGAGGAAUUGGACACAAGUGUCACCUGUCCUUGUGGCUUCUGCUGUGUCCUCAUCUUACACCACAAGGCCUCUUCAUGUCUGCCAGCAAUAUGUGCCACACCUGCUCUGCUCAUUUCUGCCACUGGAGAAAAUGUUCCACCACUCCCCGUGCCACCCUCAAGCAUGAAGAGUCACUCAUUCCUGUCUACUGCUCCUGGACUAUGUUGGGUGUGGGGACCUCCCCGUGGUUUGCCACCUAGGGUAAGGUGGUGCUGCUGUAACAAAAACAAUGGACAAUUAUUCAGUGGAUUGAACAAGAUAGAAGUUAAUUUGUCUCUUAUAUAAUUGCAAUGCACUGAAUAUUUAUGUCCUCCCCAAAUUUGUAUGUUGAAACCUAAUCCCCAGCGUGAUAGUGUUUGAAGUUAGGAGCAUUGAGAGGUGAUUAGGUCAUGAGGGCUGAGCCCUCAGGAAUGGAAUAAGUGUAAUUAUACAAAAGAGGCUCUGGAGGGCCCCCUUGCCUCCUCCACCAUGUUACAACACAGUGGGAAGACAGGAACCAGGAAGCUGGUUCUCACCAGACACCAAAUCUGUGGGUACCUUGAUCUGGACUUCCCAGCUUACAGAACUGUAAGAAAUAAAUUUCUGUUGCAUUUAAGUCCCCCAGCCUAUGAUAUUCCAUUGCAGCAGCCCAGACUGAGUAAGACAAUAAUGGUCUAAGGACUGACGUCCUAGGUCAGCUGAUGGCUGCGCUCCACGUCCGUCCAGGUGCUCAGGUUUCUUCCAGUGAGCUGCUCCACGGUCUGCAUGGUUGAGGAUGAUUCUUGUGGGGUACAACUGGCAGGAAAAAGUCCUUGGAACUCUUCUCUUUCUCCACUCAUCCUACCUGAUCUCAUUUAGUUCUUGGCUUUUCUCCCACUGAUGACCUUGAAAUGUGUCUUCAGCCUGGCUUCCCCCUGAGACGUCUCUAUUUGGAUGUCUGAUAACAUCUCAAACUUGGCAUUUAAAAUGUCCACUCCUUCCUCAGUCCUCCCUCGUUCAGUUAAUGACAGUUCCAUUUUUCCAUUGUUCAGGUCAAAACUCUUGGUGUCAUCCUUGACUCCUGUGCUUCUCUCAUG